ACGCAUUGCUGGGUAGCUAAAUGCGGAAGAGAUAAGUGCUGAAAGCAUCUAAGCACGAAACUUGCCAAGAGAUGAGUCAUCCCUGACUUUAAGUCAGUAAGGGUUGUUGUAGACUACGACGUAGAUAGGUCUGGUGUGUAAGUGUAGUGAUACAUUGAGCUAACAGAUACUAAUUGCCCGAGAGGCUUAACUAUACAACGCUCAAG
This 206-nucleotide ribosomal RNA is filed under the name Haemophilus influenzae. Its description in RNAcentral is "partial 23S ribosomal RNA". It matches the Rfam family "Bacterial large subunit ribosomal RNA", at positions 2733 to 2925 of the family's 2925-position model. The record is from RNAcentral. Lineage: Bacteria; Pseudomonadati; Pseudomonadota; Gammaproteobacteria; Pasteurellales; Pasteurellaceae.